AUUGAACGCUGGCGGCAGGCCUAACACAUGCAAGUCGAGCGGAUGAAGGGAGCUUGCUCCUGGAUUCAGCGGCGGACGGGUGAGUAAUGCCUAGGAAUCUGCCUGGUAGUGGGGGAUAGCGUCCGGAAACGGGCGCUAAUACCGCAUACGUCCUGAGGGAGAAAGUGGGGGAUCUUCGGACCUCACGCUAUCAGCUGAGCCUAGGUCGGAUUAGCUAGUUGGUGGGGUAAAGGCCUACCAAGGCGACGAUCCGUAACAGGUCUGAGAGGAUGAUCAGUCACACUGGAACUGAGACACGGUCCAGACUCCUACGGGAGGCAGCAGUGGGGAAUAUUGGACAAUGGGCGAAAGCCUGAUCCAGACAUGCCGCGUGUGUGAAGAAGGUCUUCGGAUUGUAAAGCACUUUAAGUUGGGAGGAAGGGCAGUAAGUUAAUACCUUGCUGUUUUGACGUUACCAACGGAAUAAGCACCGGCUAACUUCGUG
This 484-nucleotide ribosomal RNA is filed under the name uncultured bacterium. RNAcentral describes it as "partial 16S ribosomal RNA". It matches the Rfam family "Bacterial small subunit ribosomal RNA", at positions 30 to 507 of the family's 1533-position model. The record is from RNAcentral.